RNAcentral lists this ribosomal RNA (743 nucleotides) under uncultured bacterium. RNAcentral's name for it is "bacterial SSU rRNA". It matches the Rfam family "Bacterial small subunit ribosomal RNA", at positions 94 to 823 of the family's 1533-position model. The record is from RNAcentral.
AGCGGCGGAUGGGUGAGUAACACGUGGGGAACCUGCCCCUAAGUCUGGGAUACCAUUUGGAAACAGGUGCUAAUACCGGAUAAUAAAGCAGAUCGCAUGAUCAGCUUUUGAAAGGCGGCGUAAGCUGUCGCUAAGGGAUGGCCCCGCGGUGCACUAGCUAGUUGGUAAGGUAACGGCUUACCAAGGCGACGAUGCAUAGCCGAGUUGAGAGACUGAUCGGCCACAUUGGGACUGAGACACGGCCCAAACUCCUACGGGAGGCAGCAGUAGGGAAUCUUCCACAAUGGACGCAAGUCUGAUGGAGCAACGCCGCGUGAGUGAAGAAGGUUUUCGGAUCGUAAAGCUCUGUUGUUGGUGAAGAAGGAUAGAGGUAGUAACUGGCCUUUAUUUGACGGUAAUCAACCAGAAAGUCACGGCUAACUACGUGCCAGCAGCCGCGGUAAUACGUAGGUGGCAAGCGUUGUCCGGAUUUAUUGGGCGUAAAGCGAGCGCAGGCGGAAAAAUAAGUCUAAUGAGAAAGCCCUCGGCUUAACCGAGGAACUGCAUCGGAAACUGUUUUUCUUGAGUGCAGAAGAGGAGAGUGGAACUCCAUGUGUAGCGGUGGAAUGCGUAGAUAUAUGGAAGAACACCAGUGGCGAAGGCGGCUCUCUGGUCUGCAACUGACGCUGAGGCUCGAAAGCAUGGGUAGCGAACAGGAUUAGAUACCCUGGUAGUCCAUGCCGUAAACGAUGAGUGCUAAGUGU